GACUAACGCUGGCGGCGUGCUUAACACAUGCAAGUCACGGGGGCUCGCAAGGGCAACCGGCGAACGGGUGCGUAACACGUGAGGGACCUGCCUGGAAACGGGGGAUAGCCGGCCCAACGGCCGGGUAAUACCGCAUACGCUCUUUGGACGGCAUCGUCUGGAGAGGAAACCUCCGGGGUUUUCAGAGGGCCUCGCGGCCUAUCAGCUAGUUGGCGGGGUAACGGCCCACCAAGGCGACGACGGGUAGCUGGUCUGAGAGGAUGGCCAGCCACAUUGGGACUGAGAGACGGCCCAGACUCCUACGGGAGGCAGCAGUGGGGAAUCUUGCGCAAUGGCCGAAAGGCUGACGCAGCGACGCCGCGUGUGGGAGGAAGCUCUUCGGGGUGUAAACCACUGUUGCCCGGGACGAACGAUGCGUUUGGACGCAUGUGACGGUACCGGGUGAGGAAGCACCGGCUAACUCCGUGCCAGCAGCCGCUGUAA
Molecule: ribosomal RNA, 483 nt
Filed under: uncultured bacterium
Lineage: Bacteria
Description: partial 16S ribosomal RNA
Rfam family: Bacterial small subunit ribosomal RNA
Source: RNAcentral